UUUUUGGUGGCCGAGAUAUUAGGCCGUAGAUUUUUAAUCUACUAACGGGUUUAACCCUCUUGCGU
Molecule: transfer RNA, 65 nt
Filed under: Leucophytia bidentata (two-toothed white snail)
Lineage: Eukaryota; Metazoa; Mollusca; Gastropoda; Ellobiida; Ellobiidae
Description: Auriculinella bidentata (two-toothed white snail) tRNA-Lys
Source: RNAcentral